CUGCUCUCACAGCUUCAUGGCAGCCAGUGUGCAGCAGGACGCUGACAGCAGAGUGGCUCCAGUGAGCUGCCACUCCAGAUGUCAGGAACAAGCUCACAGACUGAGUGAAGCCGAGAAGGAUUGCAAACACCAGUGAGGAAGGGCUGGGAGACAACAGUGAUGAAGAGGAGCAGGCUUUCAGGCCAUAAGGUGGCUGUGAACUGCUUUGAAAUGAGGACAGGCCUCCCGGGAGGAAGGAAGAAUGCACCGAAGCAUGCACUGAUGAAAGUUUCUAUCCGAAGACCCAGAGUCAUGUUACUCUUCAUGGAAUGGGGCUGUCUCCUGGCUCAACAACCACAGCAUUUUCACACUUACAAAAGAAAAGGUCUGUCAAAAUCCAGUAUGCCACCAACUGGGGAAUAUAAACCCCCUUUCUAUUUUUUUUUAAGUUUACAACAACUUCAUAAAACAAAGAGGCUUUUUUAUUUCAUGUUUGUCAAUAAACCUGGCAAUAGAAAUACCAAUUUGAACAGCAAUUUUCCUGCUGGUCUGAGCUGAAAUUAGCUCUGGAUGAAUUGGUUUUCAGUUUUUACAUGUAAAUUCUCUCCACAACCCCUGCUCCUAUAGAUAGUUGUAAGACAUUACCCUGUUUAAUGGCCAUGUCUCUGCCCAAACCUUUGGUUCUUAAAGAUGACACCAAUUUAUGCUGCAAUGACUCUGACCAAUUCUAGUCUAAAACCUGGGCACAAAGGGCAUAUUGCUGCAACCACAUGGUCAGCAGGCAGGCGAAGGUGGCAGCCCAUCCAGACAGGGUGGAGCAAGGCUUGGAACAUGGAUGUCCUGAGGACCAAUGUAGGCUUGUCCCACUGACCUUCAUCACUGUGCCUCAAUGACCUUCAUCUCUCUCACUUCCAGAAACACUGCUCAGAUUCCAGCCAAGCCCUGAGAGGGGUUCUGGAAAACUCUAAUUCAUUCUGGGGCUGAUGUUUUCCUAUAUUGGCAUUGCCAGAUUUAGCAAAUAAAAAUUUAACAAAUAAUUGUUAGUAUAAGUAU
Molecule: long non-coding RNA, 1032 nt
Organism: Piliocolobus tephrosceles (Ugandan red Colobus)
Lineage: Eukaryota; Metazoa; Chordata; Mammalia; Primates; Cercopithecidae
Source: Ensembl